GCGGUGAAAUGCGUAGAUAUCGAGAGGAACACCUGCGGCGAAGGCGGGUAGCUGGGCCGACACUGACGCUGAGGCGCGAAAGCCAGGGGAGCGAACGGGAUUAGAUACCCCGGUAGUCCUGGCCUUAAACGAUGGAUACUUGGUGUCCGGGGUUACAUAGUCCCCGGGUGCCGGCGCUAACGCAUUAAGUAUCCCGCCUGGGGAGUACGGUCGCAAGACUGAAACUCAAAUGAAUUGACGG
RNAcentral lists this ribosomal RNA (241 nucleotides) under uncultured bacterium. RNAcentral's name for it is "partial 16S ribosomal RNA". It matches the Rfam family "Bacterial small subunit ribosomal RNA", at positions 678 to 916 of the family's 1533-position model. The record is from RNAcentral.